This 468-nucleotide ribosomal RNA is filed under the name uncultured bacterium. RNAcentral's name for it is "partial 16S ribosomal RNA". It matches the Rfam family "Bacterial small subunit ribosomal RNA", at positions 28 to 507 of the family's 1533-position model. The record is from RNAcentral.
GACGAACGCUGGCGGCGUGCUUAACACAUGCAAGUCGAACGGAAAGGCCCUGCUUUUGUGGGGUGCUCGAGUGGCGAACGGGUGAGUAACACGUGAGUAACCUGCCCUUGACUUUGGGAUAACUUCAGGAAACUGGUGCUAAUACCGGAUAGGAGCUCCUGCUGCAUGGUGGGGGUUGGAAAGUUUCGGCGGUUGGGGAUGGACUCGCGGCUUAUCAGCUUGUUGGUGGGGUAGUGGCUUACCAAGGCUUUGACGGGUAGCCGGCCUGAGAGGGUGACCGGCCACAUUGGGACUGAGAUACGGCCCAGACUCCUACGGGAGGCAGAAGUGGGGAAUAUUGCACAAUGGGCGGAAGCCUGAUGAAGCAACGCCGCGUGCGGGAUGACGGCCUUCGGGUUGUAAACCGCUUUCGCCUGUGACGAAGCGUGAGUGACGGUAAUGGGUAAAGAAGCACCGGCUAACUACGUG